This 1008-nucleotide ribosomal RNA is filed under the name uncultured bacterium. RNAcentral describes it as "bacterial SSU rRNA". It matches the Rfam family "Bacterial small subunit ribosomal RNA", at positions 50 to 1110 of the family's 1533-position model. The record is from RNAcentral.
AACACAUGCAAGUCGAGCGCACUCUUCGGAGUGAGCGGCGGACGGGUUAGUAACGCGUGGGAACAUACCCUUUUCUACGGAAUAGCCUCGGGAAACUGAGAGUAAUACCGUAUACGCCCUUCGGGGGAAAGAUUUAUCGGAGAAGGAUUGGCCCGCGUUUGAUUAGAUAGUUGGUGGGGUAAUGGCCUACCAAGUCUACGAUCAAUAGCUGGUUUGAGAGGAUGAUCAGCAACACUGGGACUGAGACACGGCCCAGACUCCUACGGGAGGCAGCAGUGGGGAAUCUUAGACAAUGGGCGCAAGCCUGAUCUAGCCAUGCCGCGUGAGUGACGAAGGCCUUAGGGUCGUAAAGCUCUUUCGCCAGAGAUGAUAAUGACAGUAUCUGGUAAAGAAACCCCGGCUAACUCCGUGCCAGCAGCCGCGGUAAUACGGAGGGGGUUAGCGUUGUUCGGAAUUACUGGGCGUAAAGCGUACGUAGGCGGAUUGGAAAGUAUGGGGUGAAAUCCCAGGGCUCAACCCUGGAACUGCCCUGUAAACUAUCAGUCUAGAGUUCGAGAGAGGUGAGUGGAAUUCCAAGUGUAGAGGUGAAAUUCGUAGAUAUUUGGAGGAACACCGAUGGCGAAGGCACUUUACUGGGCUAUUACUGACACUCAGAGACGAAAGCUAGGGUAGCAAAUGGGAUUAGAUACCCCAGUAGUCCUAGCCGUAAACAAUGGAUACUAGAUGUUGAACAGAUCGACCUGUGCAGUAUUAAAGCUAACGCGUUAAGUAUCCCGCCUGGGAAGUAUGCACGCAAGUGUGAAACUCAAAGGAAUUGACGGGGGCCCGCACAGCGGUGGAGCAUGUGGUUUAAUUCGAUGCAACGCGAGACCUUACCAGGGUUUGACAUGAUACGAAUUUCUUUGAAAGAGAAAGUGCUUUUGGACGUAUACACAGUUGGUGCAUGCUGUCGUCAGCCUCGCGUCGUGAGAAUGUGGGUAGUCCCGCCACGAGGCGCCAACCCCCUAU